AGCAGCCGCGGUAAUUCCAGCUCCAAUAGCGUAUAUUAAAGUUGUUGCAGUUAAAAAGCUCGUAGUUGAAUUUCGGGGUUAGUAGGUUGGUCAUGCCUCUGGUAUGUACUGGUCUCACUGAUUCCUCCUUCCUGAUGAACCUUAAUGCCAUUAAUUUGGUGUUUUGGGGAAUUUGGACUGUUACUUUGAAAAAUUAGAGUGUUUAAAGCAAGCUAACGCUUGAAUACAUUAGCAUGGAAUAAUGAAAUAGGACGUUCGAUCCUAUUUUGUUGGUUUCUAGGAUUGACGUAAUGAUUAAUAGGGAUAGUUGGGGGCAUUAGUAUUCAAUUGUCAGAGGUGAAAUUCUUGGAUUUAUUGAAGACUAACUACUGCGAAAGCAUUUGCCAAGGAUGUUUUCAUUAAUCAAGAACGAAAGUUAGGGGAUCGAAGACGAUCAGAUACCGUCGUAGUCUUAACCAUAAACUAUGCCGACUAGGGAUCGGAUGAUGUUAAUUUUUAAUGUACUCAUUCGGCGCCUUAC
This 520-nucleotide small RNA is filed under the name uncultured Glomus. Its description in RNAcentral is "SSU rRNA". It matches the Rfam family "Eukaryotic small subunit ribosomal RNA", at positions 569 to 1091 of the family's 1831-position model. Lineage: Eukaryota; Fungi; Glomeromycota; Glomeromycetes; Glomerales; Glomeraceae. The record is from RNAcentral.